This 532-nucleotide long non-coding RNA is filed under the name Salmo salar (Atlantic salmon). Its description in RNAcentral is "lncRNA (ENSSSAG00000120233.1, ENSSSAG00000121193.1)". Lineage: Eukaryota; Metazoa; Chordata; Actinopteri; Salmoniformes; Salmonidae. The record is from RNAcentral.
UGUCAGUCUGUCUGGAUGGUGACUGUAUUACAUCCAGAGGUUCCUGUCAGUCUUUCUGGAUGGUGAUGUAUUACAUCCAGUCAGAGGUUCCUGUCUGGAUGGUGAUGUAUUACAUCCAAUCAGAGGUUUCUGUCUGGAUGGUGAUGUAUUACAUCCAGGUCAGAGGUUCCUGUCUGUCUGUCUGGAUGGUGACUGUAUUACAUCCAGUCAGAGGUUCCUGUCAGUCUGUCUGGAUGGUGACUGUAUUACAUCCAGAGGUUCCUGUCAGUCUGUCUGGAUGGUGAUGUAUUACAUCCAGUCAGAGGCACCUGUCAGUCUGUCUGGAUGGUGAUGUAUUACAUCCAGUCAGGUUCUUGUCAGUCUGUCUGGAGGGCGAUGUAUUGGACGUGUCACUAGUCCUUUUGAAGGACUUCCUGGCAGAAGAGGUUACUCGACCAGUCAGCAGCCGAUAUGCCAGUUAAUUAAUUGGUGAAAUUUUGCUAUAGGGGCAGGACUCCGUUGUAUACUGAUGGUCGUGAGCGCAGUCUAGCUG